Molecule: RNA transcript, 1629 nt
Organism: Lemur catta (Ring-tailed lemur)
Lineage: Eukaryota; Metazoa; Chordata; Mammalia; Primates; Lemuridae
Gene name: spermine synthase-like
Exons: 1
Source: RefSeq, a predicted model, not a curated record
UGCAGCCUGACACCCCACUGGCCCCCAGUCUCCCACGGUUGCCUCCCCUAGGCGUGGCACAGGGCCUGGCCUCACUAUGGCAGCAGCACUGCACAGCAUGCUCGACUUGGUGCUCAGCGCCAGAGCUGAUGGCGAGAUCAUUCUAAAAGGCCCCCAGUCCAUUCUCCAGGAGCAAGGGAUGGCGGAGUCGGUGCAUACUUGGCAGGACCACGGCCAUUUAGCAACCUACAUAAACAAAAACGGCAGCUUUACCAAUUUGAGAAUUUACCCGCAUGGAUUGGUGUUACUGGACCUUCAGAGUUACGACAGUGAUGCACGGAGCCAGGAAGAAAUUGGCAGUCUUUUGAACAAAGUUGAAGAAAAAGAAUGAAAGAAUUGAACCAGGACAGCACCGGGCGGGUGAAGCAAUGACCACCCAUGGUUUGAGGAGGGGCCGUCGACAGACACUGGCCCACCGCCGAUGGGCACCUGGUUGAAUACAACAUAGAUGAAGUGGUGUAUGAUGAAGAUUCACCUUAUUAGAACAUUAGAAUUCUACAUUCGAAGCAAUUUGGAAAUAUUCUCAUCCUUAGUGGGGAUGUUAAUUUGGCAGAGAGGGACUUGGCGUCUGCCUGGGCCAUCAUGAGCACUGGCAAAGAUGCACUGAUUCUGGAAGGUGGAGAUGGGGACAUAAUAUGUGAAAUAGUCAAACUGAAACCAAAGAUGGUCACUAUGGUAGAGAUUUACCAAAGGGUGAUUGAUGGGUAUAAGAAAUAUAUGUGAAAAACGUGCGGUGAUGUCUUAGACAACCCUAAAGGAGACUGCUGUCAGGCAGGUUCUAAUAGAAGACUGUGUUCCAGCACUGAAGAGGUAGCCAAAGAAGGGAGGGAGUUUGAUUAUGUGAUUAAUGAUUUGAUGGCUGUUCCAAUCUCCACGUCUCCAGAAAAAGAUUCCACAUGGGAGUUUCUCACACUGAUUUUUGACCUCUCAAUGAAAGUAUGGAAACAGAAUGGGAAACAUUUCACACAGGGGAACUGUGUCAAUCUGACAGAAGCCCUGUCACUCUAUGAAGAACAGCUUGGGUGCCUGUAUUGUCCUGUGGAAUUCCCUAAGGAAAUAAUUUGUGUCCCUUCAUACUUGGAAUUGUGGGUAUUUUACACUGUGUGAAAGAAAGCUAAGCCUUGAAGGUGAAUAUCCCCAAUCAUGUGUGAUGCUAAUCACCUUCCUGACCUCCACAUGCUGUACAUGACAUCAAAAUGAGUCAGGCAAUUAAUUGCGAAUUUCUUAAAGUUUUCUUUAGUUGUUAUUUUUAAUUUAAAAAAGCAAAUGGAAAAUGUAUAUUUUGAUGAACUAGGGUGUUAUUUUUGUUGAAAGUCAGCUGAAGGACAGUUAGACAGCACAGAGAAGACUGCUAAAUGCACUGACCCUGUAGAAUGUGAUUUUUGUUUUUAUUUCUGUGUGGGCUUUUUUUGUUUGUUUUGGUAGACCUUCAAUUUGGAUGUUUGGAGGAAUGACUAUCAUUGGUUUGUCCUGGAGGGAAGUUCUUGAUGGUAUUUCUUUCCCCCCAAAUUGCCUUAGAUGUUAAAAUUUGGUGCUUAUAAGAAUUUAAAAAAAUGAAUAGUAAUGCUUCAGUUAAAAUCACAAAAGAGA